AAGGAUGAAAGACGGUUUCGGCUGUCACUUACAGAUGGACCCGCGGCGCAUUAGCUAGUUGGUGGGGUAAUGGCUCACCAAGGCGACGAUGCGUAGCCGACCUGAGAGGGUGAUCGGCCACACUGGGACUGAGACACGGCCCAGACUCCUACGGGAGGCAGCAGUAGGGAAUCUUCCGCAAUGGACGAAAGUCUGACGGAGCAACGCCGCGUGAGUGAUGAAGGUUUUCGGAUCGUAAAGCUCUGUUGUUAGGGAAGAACAAGUGCGAGAGUAACUGCUCGCACCUUGACGGUACCUAACCAGAAAGCCACGGCUAACUACGUGCCAGCAGCCGCGGUAAUACGUAGGUGGCAAGCGUUGUCCGGAAUUAUUGGGCGUAAAGGGCUCGCAGGCGGUUUCUUAAGUCUGAUGUGAAAGCCCCCGGCUCAACCGGGGAGGGUCAUUGGAAACUGGGAAACUUGAGUGCAGAAGAGGAGAGUGGAAUUCCACGUGUAGCGGUGAAAUGCGUAGAGAUGUGGAGGAACACCAGUGGCGAAGGCGACUCUCUGGUCUGUAACUGACGCUGAGGAGCGAAAGCGUGGGGAGCGAACAGGAUUAGAUACCCUGGUAGUCCACGCCGUAAACGAUGAGUGCUAAGUGUUAGGGGGUUUCCGCCCCUUAGUGCUGCAGCUAACGCAUUAAGCACUCCGCCUGGGGAGUACGGUCGCAAGACUGAAACUCAAAGGAAUUGACGGGGGCCCGCACAAGCGGUGGAGCAUGUGGUUUAAUUCGAAGCAACGCGAAGAACCUUACCAGGUCUUGACAUCCUCUGACAACCCUAGAGAUAGGGCUUUCCCUUCGGGGACAGAGUGACAGGUGGUGCAUGGUUGUCGUCAGCUCGUGUCGUGAGAUGUUGGGUUAAGUCCCGCAACGAGCGCAACCCUUGAUCUUAGUUGCCAGCAUUCAGUUGGGCACUCUAAGGUGACUGCCGGUGACAAACCGGAGGAAGGUGGGGAUGACGUCAAAUCAUCAUGCCCCUUAUGACCUGGGCUACACACGUGCUACAAUGGACAGAACAAAGGGCUGCAAGACCGCAAGGUUUAGCCAAUCCCAUAAAUCUGUUCUCAGUUCGGAUCGCAGU
Molecule: ribosomal RNA, 1120 nt
Filed under: Bacillus safensis
Lineage: Bacteria; Bacillati; Bacillota; Bacilli; Caryophanales; Bacillaceae
Description: bacterial SSU rRNA
Rfam family: Bacterial small subunit ribosomal RNA
Source: RNAcentral